This 73-nucleotide transfer RNA is filed under the name Phakopsora pachyrhizi. RNAcentral's name for it is "tRNA-Ser". It matches the Rfam family "tRNA". From Rfam's summary of the family: Transfer RNA (tRNA) molecules are approximately 80 nucleotides in length. The record is from RNAcentral. Lineage: Eukaryota; Fungi; Basidiomycota; Pucciniomycetes; Pucciniales; Phakopsoraceae.
GCGCACUUAGCUCAAAUGGUCAGAGCAUCACUCUUGAAAGUUGAGGUUGUGGGUUUGAUUCCCACAGUGCACA